RNAcentral lists this ribosomal RNA (618 nucleotides) under Plethodon glutinosus (slimy salamander). Its description in RNAcentral is "partial 12S ribosomal RNA". The stretch from base 469 to 537 matches the Rfam family "tRNA". The record is from RNAcentral. Lineage: Eukaryota; Metazoa; Chordata; Amphibia; Caudata; Plethodontidae.
UGGGGAUUAGAUACCCCACUAUGCUCGUUCUCAAACCUUUCCGCCAGAGUAUUAUGAGCCACAGCUUAAAACUCAAAGAACUUGGCGGUGCUCUACACCCACCUAGAGGAGCCUGUUCUAUAAUCGAUACUCCACGAUAAACCUCACCGCCUCUGGCCAAUACAGCCUAUAUACCACCGUCCUCUGCUUAUCUUCAAAAGAGCUAUAAUAAGCAAAAUAAUUUAAAAUAAAAAAGCCAGGUCAAGGUGUAGCAUAUGAAGCGGAAAGAAAUGGGCUACAUUUUCUUCCUUAGAAAACACGUUAAGUCCUAUGAAAUAAAACAAAAGGAGGAUUUAGAAGUAAAAAGAAAUAAGAAUGUUCUUUUAAACCAGGCAAUAAAGCACGCACACACCGCCCGUCACCCUCAUUUAAUUAAACAGAAGAGGAAAGUCGUAACAUGGUAAGCCUACCGGAAGGUGGUCUUAGAUAUAGGAUAUAGCUUAAAUAAAGCAGUCUGCUUACACCAAAAAAAUAUUUGUUCAACUCAAAUUAUCCUGUGUUUUAAACAUAGCCUGAUACACCCUCUCUUUUACCUUAAAUAUCAAAACAUUCUUAAAUGUUAGUAAGGGCGACGGAAAA